Molecule: ribosomal RNA, 450 nt
Filed under: uncultured bacterium
Lineage: Bacteria
Description: SSU rRNA
Rfam family: Bacterial small subunit ribosomal RNA
Source: RNAcentral
AGAGCGAACGCUGGCGGCAGGCUUAACACAUGCAAGUCGAGCGGGCGUAGCAAUACGUCAGCGGCAGACGGGUGAGUAACGCGUGGGAACGUACCUUUUGGUUCGGAACAACCCAGGGAAACUUGGGCUAAUACCGGAUAAGCCCUUACGGGGAAAGAUUUAUCGCCGAAAGAUCGGCCCGCGUCUGAUUAGCUAGUUGGUGAGGUAAUGGCUCACCAAGGCGACGAUCAGUAGCUGGUCUGAGAGGAUGAUCAGCCACAUUGGGACUGAGACACGGCCCAAACUCCUACGGGAGGCAGCAGUGGGGAAUAUUGGACAAUGGGCGCAAGCCUGAUCCAGCCAUGCCGCGUGAGUGAUGAAGGCCCUAGGGUUGUAAAGCUCUUUUGUGGCGGGAAGAUAAUGACGGUACCGCAAGAAUAACGCCCCGGCUAACUUCGUGCCAGCAGCCGC